RNAcentral lists this ribosomal RNA (209 nucleotides) under uncultured bacterium. RNAcentral describes it as "partial 16S ribosomal RNA". It matches the Rfam family "Bacterial small subunit ribosomal RNA", at positions 1293 to 1500 of the family's 1533-position model. The record is from RNAcentral.
UCAGAUUGCAGGCUGCAAACCCGCCCUGCAUGAAGUCGGAAUUGCUAGUAAUCGCGGAUCAGCAUGCCGCGGUGAAUACGUUCCCGGGCCUUGUACACACCGCCCGUCACACCAUGGGAGCCGGUAAUACCCGAAGUCAGUAGUCCAACCACGUGAGGACGCUGCCGAAGGUAGGAUUGGCGACUGGGGUGAAGUCGUAACAAGGUAAC